CGGGGAGUAGCGUAGCCCGGUUCAACGCGCCUGGUUUGGGACCAGGAGAUCGGAGGUUCGAAUCCUCUCUCCCCGA
Molecule: transfer RNA, 76 nt
Filed under: bacterium
Lineage: Bacteria
Description: tRNA-Pro
Rfam family: tRNA
About the family: Transfer RNA (tRNA) molecules are approximately 80 nucleotides in length. Their secondary structure includes four short double-helical elements and three loops (D, anti-codon, and T loops).
Source: RNAcentral